GCUCUGAUAGGGCUACCCCGCCGUUCGUCUACUCCCACCCACCCCCACCCCAACCUGCGCGCGAUCUCCUCGGAGCUUUUUAUUGAACGGCGCCGCUCCUCGAGGCGAUUGGCCGGCUCGCCUCGGUAGAACCCGCCUUUCUUUAUUUCUUCAGCCGUUGGGGUUGGCUCUUCUCGAAGGCAGCUGGUAUGUUCAAAACAAUUCACCCAUCAGUUGAAACAGAGAAUAAAAAAUUGGCUUUUACAACCGGCAAGGAUGCUCAAGGCAGAAAUUUGUGGGCGUGGACAUUCCUACAGAAUCAAGAGUCAACAGCCUUUUCCUCUUGAGGGCUGCAGUCAACAUAUCAAUGGCUAAUUGAAGACUCGGGUUUUGCCUGUCAGCCAGCAUUCAGAGACUCUUUGCAAAACCUCUCUUGCACUUGACUCAUGGCUGAGAAGUCAUCUCUUCUGCUGACAUACUUCCUCGCUUUUCAUUUAACGCCUGGUCAAAAGAGCUGAAGUUUCCGAGCUUCUGGAGACUGUUUUUCCCCUACAGCCCCCCUCCCCUGCCCAGCUGUUCCGAUGUGAAAUCGAGGGCAUCACCACAGCAAGAAGGCAGAAGUAAGAACCUUUCCCUUUAAAAUGGUUCACAUUUCUGUUUUUGUCAUUAACAGCCUCCGAUCUUCAGGGCAGAAUAAAGCCCAGCGGUGGUUUCCUGUUUUAAACUUCCUUCCUCUCUCAUUUGAUGCUAUAAAUAUAAAUAUAUAUAUAACUAGCUGAUAACCUGGUGCU
Thamnophis elegans (Western terrestrial garter snake) is the source of this 770-nucleotide long non-coding RNA. RefSeq lists it as uncharacterized. Lineage: Eukaryota; Metazoa; Chordata; Lepidosauria; Squamata; Natricidae. The transcript has 4 exons. The record is from RefSeq and is a predicted model, not a curated record.